This 69-nucleotide transfer RNA is filed under the name Spea bombifrons (plains spadefoot toad). RNAcentral's name for it is "tRNA-Val". It matches the Rfam family "tRNA". From Rfam's summary of the family: Transfer RNA (tRNA) molecules are approximately 80 nucleotides in length. Their secondary structure includes four short double-helical elements and three loops (D, anti-codon, and T loops). Lineage: Eukaryota; Metazoa; Chordata; Amphibia; Anura; Pelobatidae. The record is from RNAcentral.
CAAAAUGUAGCUUAACCAAAGCCUUUCGCUUACACCGAAACUAUAUCUGUUAAAACCGGAUCAUUUUGA